GCGGGGGUCGCCAAGCCUGGUCAAAGGCGCAGGAUUCAGGAUCCUGUCCCGAAGGGGUUCGCGGGUUCAAAUCCCGCCCCCCGCACCA
RNAcentral lists this transfer RNA (88 nucleotides) under Candidatus Bathyarchaeota archaeon. RNAcentral's name for it is "tRNA-Leu". It matches the Rfam family "tRNA". Rfam says of the family: Transfer RNA (tRNA) molecules are approximately 80 nucleotides in length. Their secondary structure includes four short double-helical elements and three loops (D, anti-codon, and T loops). The record is from RNAcentral. Lineage: Archaea; Thermoproteati; Candidatus Bathyarchaeota. RNAcentral also lists the same sequence under 1 other name.